This 144-nucleotide unclassified non-coding RNA is filed under the name fungal sp. RNAcentral's name for it is "partial internal transcribed spacer region". The stretch from base 1 to 46 matches the Rfam family "Eukaryotic small subunit ribosomal RNA", at positions 1786 to 1831 of the family's 1831-position model. Lineage: Eukaryota; Fungi. The record is from RNAcentral.
AAGUCGUAACAAGGUUUCCGUAGGUGAACCUGCGGAAGGAUCAUUAGAGAAAAAAAAGAUGGACACAAGAGCAAGAGGAUACGAUAUAGGUUAUAAUAUAAAGAAAUAUAUAAACAACUUUUAGCAACGGAUCUCUAGGUUCUC